This 74-nucleotide transfer RNA is filed under the name Staphylococcus phage Stab23. Its description in RNAcentral is "tRNA-Asp". It matches the Rfam family "tRNA". From Rfam's summary of the family: Transfer RNA (tRNA) molecules are approximately 80 nucleotides in length. The record is from RNAcentral. Lineage: Duplodnaviria; Heunggongvirae; Uroviricota; Caudoviricetes; Herelleviridae.
GGCUCAUUGGUGUAACUGGUUAACACACUACCCUGUCACGGUAGAGAGUACGAGUUCGAGUCUCGUAUGAGUCG